RNAcentral lists this long non-coding RNA (1381 nucleotides) under Rattus norvegicus (Norway rat). Its description in RNAcentral is "long non-coding RNA NONRATT001235". The record is from RNAcentral. Lineage: Eukaryota; Metazoa; Chordata; Mammalia; Rodentia; Muridae.
CCUCCGCCUUUCCCUCUAGCGAGGACGAGACAAGGCCUCGCGCGCAUGCUCCGAAUCAUCCUCCGAGGGGCGGGGUUGCAGUCGCGGGAGCAGGAUGGGGGGAAGAGAAGGGAAUUCCAACCUGUAGAACUUUGGGGGUCCUAUGGUCGGGUUCUUCCCCACCACUGUGGAUGGUGAAAGGGGUGUGGCCUUUGGCGGCUCCUGGGGGUAUUGGAGUUCGCAAGGUGAGGGAGGGGGUGUCAAGUGUGAGAGAGGUGCAGGACUUCCAAAUUUAGAACCUUGAGGCCCUUUGGGCUCAGGUCCAGGGCACUCCGGCCACCAUGCGCGACAGGACCCAUGAGUUGAGGCAGGGGGAUAACAUCUCAGACGAUGAAGAUGAGGUUCGAGUCGCGUUGGUGGUGCACUCAGGUGCCGCCCGGCUGAGCAGCCCGGACGACGAGUUCUUCCAGAAGCCCUCUCGGUGAUCCUUCCUAGGUGCAGACAAUUCGGCAGACUAUGGCCAAACUGGAGAGUAAAGUCCGGGAGUUGGAGAAACAGCAGGUCACCAUUCUGGCCACGCCUCUUCCCGAGGAGAGCAUGAAGCAGGGCCUGCAGAACCUGCGAGAGGAGAUCAAACAGCUGGGGAGAGAAGUCCGGGCACAGCUAAAAGCCAUAGAGCCCCAGAAGGAAGAAGCUGAUGAGAAUUAUAAUUCAGUCAACACAAGAAUGAAGAAAACCCAGCAUGGGGUCCUGUCCCAGCAGUUUGUGGAGCUCAUCAACAAGUGUAACUCAAUGCAGUCCGAGUACCGAGAGAAGAACGUGGAGCGCAUUCGGCGGCAGCUGAAGAUCAGUGAGUUCGGGUACCUUGUCCUUGGGGUUUGGGGGCCCCGAUCGGUUCUGAACUGGCCUUUCUGUUACAGCCAAUGCUGGAAUGGUGUCUGACGAGGAACUGGAGCAGAUGCUGGACAGUGGGCAGAGUGAGGUGUUUGUGUCUAAUAUACUGAAGGACACACAGGUGACCCGGCAGGCCCUGAAUGAGAUCUCUGCGCGACACAGUGAGAUCCAGCAGUUGGAGCGCAGCAUCCGUGAACUCCAUGAGAUCUUCACUUUUCUAGCUACCGAGGUGGAGAUGCAGGUGCGUGCCUAGAAGCCCUCUGCGACCUUUAGUCCUAGCCUUGGCCUGGAGCUGACGUUCUCCUGGGCUUUUAUGCUCUUCCAAGCUUGGGCAUGCUUCUCGGUGACCUCCACUUCCAUCCUUAGCCAAGUUCUACUCACAGCUACCCUGAUGGCAUCCCACUGAGCUACCAGUGUGUACCUCACCUAGGCAUGCCUUAAUCAUGGCUUCUCUUUCUAUGACGGAAGCCCCCCUAAUGCUGUUAGAGCUCUUGUGGAAGCUGCCCCU